RNAcentral lists this ribosomal RNA (459 nucleotides) under uncultured bacterium. RNAcentral describes it as "bacterial SSU rRNA". It matches the Rfam family "Bacterial small subunit ribosomal RNA", at positions 29 to 523 of the family's 1533-position model. The record is from RNAcentral.
AACGAACGCUGGCGGCAUGCCUAACACAUGCAAGUCGAACGGGAUCCAGGCUUCGGCCUGGUGAGAGUGGCGGACGGGUGAGUAACACGUGGGAACCUGCCUUUUGGUUCGGGAUAACCGCGGGAAACUGCGGCUAAUACCGGAUGCUCCCGAGAGGGGAAAGAUUUAUCGCCAGAAGAGGGGCCCGCGUCCGAUUAGGUAGUUGGUGAGGUAAUGGCUCACCAAGCCGACGAUCGGUAGCUGGUCUGAGAGGAUGAUCAGCCACACUGGGACUGAGAUACGGCCCAGACUCCUACGGGAGGCAGCAGUGGGGAAUAUUGGACAAUGGGGGCAACCCUGAUCCAGCAAUGCCGCGUGAGUGAUGAAGGCCUUAGGGUUGUAAAGCUCUUUUGCCAGGGAAGAUGAUGACUGUACCUGGAGGAUAAGCCCCGGCUAACUUCGUGCCAGCAGCCGCGGUAA